UACGUAGGGUCCGAGCGUUGUCCGGAAUUAUUGGGCGUAAAGGGCUCGUAGGCGGUUCGUCACGUCGGGAGUGAAAACUCGGGGCUUAACCCCGAGCCUGCUUCCGAUACGGGCAGACUAGAGGUAGGCAGGGGAGAGCGGAACUCCUGGUGUAGCGGUGGAAUGCGCAGAUAUCAGGAAGAACACCCGUGGCUAAGGCGGCUCUCUAGUACGGUACUGACGCUGAGACGCGAAAGCGUGGGGAGCGAACAGG
RNAcentral lists this ribosomal RNA (253 nucleotides) under uncultured bacterium. RNAcentral describes it as "partial 16S ribosomal RNA". It matches the Rfam family "Bacterial small subunit ribosomal RNA", at positions 524 to 776 of the family's 1533-position model. The record is from RNAcentral.